GMCGGAAUAGCUCAGUUGAUAGAGCAAGGGACUGAAAAUCCG
RNAcentral lists this transfer RNA (42 nucleotides) under Radula psychosis. RNAcentral describes it as "partial tRNA-Phe". The record is from RNAcentral. Lineage: Eukaryota; Viridiplantae; Streptophyta; Jungermanniopsida; Radulales; Radulaceae.